CAGCCGCCGCGGGAAUACGUAGGGUGCGAGCGUUAAUCGGAAUUACUGGGCGUAAAGGGUGCGUAGGCGGACUGAUAAGUCAGGGGUGAAAUCCCAAGGCUCAACCUUGGAACUGCCUUUGAUACUGUUAGUCUUGAGUUCGAGAGAGGUGAGUGGAACUGCGAGUGUAGAGGUGAAAUUCGUAGAUAUUCGCAAGAACACCAGUGGCGAAGGCGGCUCACUGGCUCGAAACUGACGCUGAGGCACGAAAGCGUGGGGAGCAAACAGGAUUAGAUACCCCCGUAGUCCCUGUCUCUUAUAC
This 301-nucleotide ribosomal RNA is filed under the name uncultured bacterium. RNAcentral describes it as "partial 16S ribosomal RNA". It matches the Rfam family "Bacterial small subunit ribosomal RNA", at positions 509 to 807 of the family's 1533-position model. The record is from RNAcentral.